CACAUAGGUUUGGUCCCGGCCUUGAAAUCAGUUAUUACUUGACUUACACAUGCAAGUCUCCGCAUACCCGUGAAAACGCCCUCCCACCCACUUUCAGGUGAGGAGCCGAUAUCAGGCACAAAGUAGCCCAAAACAUCUAGCCACGCCACACCCAUAAGGGCCCUCAGCAGUGAUUAACAUUAAGUAUAAACGUCAGUUUGACUUAGCCAAAUGAAUAACAGAGCCGGCCAAUCUGGUGCCAGCCGCCGCGGUUACACCACGUGGCUCAAAUUGAUUUUAAUGCGGCGUAAAGCGUGAUUAAAGAAAUAACCCCUGGGGUCAAACUUAAAUUAAGCUGUCGCACGAUUAUUCUUAAGAAGUCCUAUAUCGAAAGAUACCCCAAUACACCAACUUGAAUUCACAACAAUUAGGAUACAAACUGGGAUUAGAUACCCCACUAUGCCUGAUCGUAAACUUUUACUUACAUUAUAUCGCCAGGGGACUACGAGCAAAGCUUAAAACCCAAAGGACUUGACGGUGCCCCACAUCCUUCUAGAGGAGCCUGUCCUACAAUCGAUACUCCACGUUUAACCUCACCAUUUUUAGUUCAUCAGCCUGUAUACUUCCGUCGUCAGCUUACCGCGUGAGCGAAUAAGUAAGCCCAAUGUCAUAUCAAUACGUCAGGUCAAAGUGCAGCAUAUAAAAUGGUAAGAGAUGGGCUACACUCUCUAAUAUAGAAGACACGAAAGAUUAUGUGAAACCAUAUUCAGAAGGCGGAUUUAGCAGUAAGGAAAGAUUAGAAUGCCUCCCUUAACCCGGCACUGGGGUGUGUACACACCGCCCGUCACCCUCUUCAAUAAACCCCCUUAGUAAAUAACAAUACUCCCCCCAAAAGAAGAGGUAAGUCGUAACAUGGUAAGUAUACCGGAAGGUGUGCUUGGAAG
This 923-nucleotide non-coding RNA is filed under the name Pristimantis ceuthospilus (Wild's robber frog). RNAcentral describes it as "12S ribosomal RNA". It matches the Rfam family "Bacterial small subunit ribosomal RNA". The record is from RNAcentral. Lineage: Eukaryota; Metazoa; Chordata; Amphibia; Anura; Strabomantidae.